Molecule: RNA transcript, 1733 nt
Organism: Glycine soja
Lineage: Eukaryota; Viridiplantae; Streptophyta; Magnoliopsida; Fabales; Fabaceae
Gene name: photosystem II stability/assembly factor HCF136, chloroplastic-like
Exons: 10
Source: RefSeq, a predicted model, not a curated record
UGUGAAACGGCUUGAAAUCACCCGCGAAGCCGUUAGGAUAAGGCAGAGAGAGAAAAACAAACAAACAAAGCGGCUUCCAAUGGCCACUCUGCAAUUCACCUUCACCGACUCAACCACAUUGUUCAGGCCUUCUCUACCUUCCACGCGAACCUUCUCUCGAAACCGAAGCCUCAUUGUCAAAGCCUCUUCUUCUUCUUCUGACGACUUCUCCAAAAGCAGGCGACGCUUCAUCGCCGAAACCGCCGCACUCUCGGUCUCGCUCCCUCAGUUAGCGGCGCGUGCCGAAGACGCGCUUUCGGAGUGGGAGAGAGUAUACCUCCCUAUCGACCCCGGCGUCGUGCUUCUCGACAUCGCUUUUGUCCCCGACGAUCCCAACCACGGUUUUCUUCUCGGGACGAGGCAAACCAUUCUGGAGACGAAAGAUGGAGGAAACACUUGGGCUCCGCGUUCGAUUCCUUCUGCUGAAGACGAAGAUUUCAACUAUCGCUUCAAUUCCAUCAGCUUCAAAGGGAAGGAAGGGUGGAUUGUCGGAAAACCUGCGAUUCUGUUGUACACUUCCGAUGCCGGAGACAGUUGGGAGAGGAUACCUCUCAGUGCUGAACUUCCAGGGGAUAUGGUGUACAUAAAGGCAACCGGUGAGAAGAGUGCGGAGAUGGUGACCGACGAAGGUGCCAUAUAUGUUACUGCAAACAGAGGUUACAACUGGAGGGCUGCUGUGCAGGAAACUGUCUCAGCUACUCUUAACAGAACAGUUUCUAGUGGUAUUAGUGGUGCAAGCUACUACACUGGAACUUUCAAUACUGUCAAUCGCUCUCCAGAUGGAAGGUAUGUUGCAGUCUCAAGUCGGGGCAACUUCUACUUAACCUGGGAGCCUGGUCAGCCAUUCUGGCAGCCACAUAAUAGAGCAGUUGCCAGAAGAAUCCAGAACAUGGGAUGGAGAGCUGAUGGUGGUCUGUGGCUUCUUGUUCGUGGAGGUGGUCUUUAUCUCAGCAAGGGCACAGGGUUAACUGAAGAAUUUGAGGAGGUUCCUGUUCAAAGCCGGGGUUUUGGCAUUCUUGAUGUUGGAUAUCGUUCAACGGAUGAGGCAUGGGCAGCAGGAGGAAGUGGUAUUCUUUUGAGAACUACUAAUGGUGGCAAGUCAUGGAUCCGUGACAAAGCUGCUGACAACAUUGCUGCAAAUUUAUACUCAGUGAAGUUCAUUGAUGAGAAGAAGGGAUUUGUAUUGGGGAAUGAUGGAGUCUUGCUUCGCUACCUUGGAUAGAGUUGUAAUGCAACAUGUUUUGUAAUUGUCACGGGAUUGAGUGUGAGAAGCUGAAAAUGCCAGCAGAGCACUUCCCCGUCUUUCUGGUUUACUUUAUGAGCUGGAGAUAAAAAUAAAAGAGAAUAAGAUAGAAGUUGUAGAAGAAAAGAAAAAUGAGGGAAGAAAAAUAAUGGCUAUUGAUUAAACAAGACAAAUUAUGAAGUAAAACAGAAAUAGUAGCUUCAACAGUCAGGAACUUGUUAUCUGAAGGUCUGUUGCCUCAAAUGCAAUUUUGUAGCAGAUUACAUAUCCAUGCUUAACAUUCAUUACUAUGGAGAGAGCUAUGGGAUCAAAUCGACUCCUUGCUGUUGUGCUAAAAAAAUGUGAGGAAGUAUAUAAACAAACUUCACUAUUGUAAAGAGAGCUAUAUUAUGUCAAUGUAAAAUUGUAAUUGCCACGUUACUAUUAUAUUAAAAUUCAAUUUUAUGCUGCA